ACGAAUUCCGGGUAGACUGAUAAACUUGAGACCGGGAGAGGCUAAGGUACUCCUGGGGUAAGGUGAAAUUCUGUAAUCCUAGGGGACCACCAGUGGCGAAGCGUCUACUAAACGGGUCUGACGGUGAGGGACGAAGCCCUGGGGAGCAAACGGGAUUAGAUACCCCGGUAGUCCAGGGUGUAAACGCUGCUUGCUUGAUGUUAGUCGGGCUCCGAGCCCGAUUAGUGUCGGAGAGAAGUUGUUAAGCAAGCUGCCUGGGGAGUACGGUCGCAAGACUGAAACCUAAAGGAAUUGGCGGGGGAGCACCGCAACGGGUGGAGCGUGCGGUUUAAUUGGAUUCAACGCCGGAAACCUCACCGGAGGAGACGGUUACAUGAAAGCCAGGCUGAUGACCUUGCUAGAUUUUCCGAAGGUGGUGCAUGGCCGUCGUCAGUUCGUACCGUAAGGCGUUCUGUUAAGUCAGACAACGGACGAGACCCUCGUCUUUAAUUGCAACUGGCAACUCAGGUUGUCAGGCACAUUAAAGAGACCGCUGGCGAUAAGUCAGAGGAAGGCGAGGGCAACGGUAGGUCAGUAUGCCCUGAAUCCUCCGGGCUACACGCGCGCUACAAAGGCUAGGACAAAUGGGUCCCGACACCGAAAGGUGAAGGUAAUCUCGAAACCUAGUUAUAGUUCGGAUUGAGGGUUGAACUCACCCUCAUGAAGGUGGAACUCCGUAGUAAUCGCCAGAUCAACAUUCUGCGGUGAAUAUGCCCCUGGUCC
This 762-nucleotide ribosomal RNA is filed under the name uncultured Thermoplasmata archaeon. RNAcentral's name for it is "bacterial SSU rRNA". It matches the Rfam family "Archaeal small subunit ribosomal RNA", at positions 568 to 1336 of the family's 1478-position model. The record is from RNAcentral. Lineage: Archaea; Methanobacteriati; Thermoplasmatota; Thermoplasmata.